GCCUAUACUGCAAGUUGAACGCUUGAUUUUCACCGAAGCUUGCUUCACCGAAAAUCAAGAGUAGCGAACGGGUGAGUAACGCGUGGGUAACCUACCUUUCAGCGGGGGAUAACUAUUGGAAACGAUAGCUAAUACCGCAUAACAAUGUUGGAUGCAUAUUCGACAUUUGAAAGUACCAAUUGGUACACUGAGAGAUGGACCCGCGUUGUAUUAGCUAGUUGGUAGUGUAAUGGACUACCAAGGCGAUGAUACAUAGCCGACCUGAGAGGGUGAUCGGCCACAUUGGGACUGAGACACGGCCCAAACUCCUACGGGAGGCAGCAGUAGGGAAUCUUCGGCAAUGGACGAAAGUCUGACCGAGCAACGCCGCGUGAGUGAAGAAGGUUUUCGGAUCGUAAAACUCUGUUGUUAGAGAAGAACGUUGCAUAGAGUGGAAAAUUAUGCAAGUGACGGUAUCUAACCAGAAAGGGACGGCUAACUACGUGCCAGCAGCCGCGGUAAUACGUAGGUCCCGAGCGUUGUCCGGAUUUAUUGGGCGUAAAGCGAGCGCAGGUGGUUUAAUAAGUCUGAUGUAAAAGGCAGUGGCUCAACCAUUGUGUGCAUUGGAAACUGUUAGACUUGAGUGCAGUAGAGGAGAGUGGAAUUCCAUGUGUAGCGGUGAAAUGCGUAGAUAUAUGGAGGAACACCGGUGGCGAAAGCGGCUCUCUGGACUGUCACUGACACUGAGGCUCGAAAGCGUGGGUAGCAAACAGGAUUAGAUACCCUGGUAGUCCACGCCGUAAACGAUGAGUGCUAGUUGUUUGGGGCUAUCCAGCCCUAAGUGACGCAGCAAACGCAUUAAGCACUCCGCCUGGGGAGUACGACCGCAAGGUUGAAACUCAAAGGAAUUGACGGGGGCCCGCACAAGCGGUGGAGCAUGUGGUUUAAUUCGAAGCAACGCGAAGAACCUUACCA
Molecule: ribosomal RNA, 954 nt
Filed under: Lactococcus sp. D90
Lineage: Bacteria; Bacillati; Bacillota; Bacilli; Lactobacillales; Streptococcaceae
Description: bacterial SSU rRNA
Rfam family: Bacterial small subunit ribosomal RNA
Source: RNAcentral